Molecule: ribosomal RNA, 409 nt
Filed under: uncultured Duganella sp.
Lineage: Bacteria; Pseudomonadati; Pseudomonadota; Betaproteobacteria; Burkholderiales; Oxalobacteraceae
Description: bacterial SSU rRNA
Rfam family: Bacterial small subunit ribosomal RNA
Source: RNAcentral
CCUUACCUACCCUUGACAUGGCAGAAAUCCUCGAGAGAUUGGGGAGUGCUCGAAAGAGAAUCUGCACACAGGUGCUGCAUGGCUGUCGUCAGCUCGUGUCGUGAGAUGUUGGGUUAAGUCCCGCAACGAGCGCAACCCUUGUCAUUAGUUGCUACGAAAGAGCACUCUAAUGAGACUGCCGGUGACAAACCGGAGGAAGGUGGGGAUGACGUCAAGUCCUCAUGGCCCUUAUGGGUAGGGCUUCACACGUCAUACAAUGGUACAUACAGAGGGCCGCCAACCCGCGAGGGGGAGCUAAUCCCAGAAAGUGUAUCGUAGUCCGGAUUGUAGUCUGCAACUCGACUGCAUGAAGUUGGAAUCGCUAGUAAUCGCGGAUCAGCAUGUCGCGGUGAAUACCUUCCCGGGUCUG